GAUGAACGCUGGCGGCGUGCUUAACACAUGCAAGUCGAACGAUGAUGCCCAGCUUGCUGGGUGGUUUAGUGGCGAACGGGUGAGUAACACGUGAGUAACCUGCCCUUGACUCUGGGAUAAGCCUGGGAAACUGGGUCUAAUACCGGAUACGACCAUCUGGCGCAUGUCAUGGUGGUGGAAAGCUUUUGUGGUUUUGGAUGGACUCGCGGCCUAUCAGCUUGUUGGUGGGGUAAUGGCCUACCAAGGCGACGACGGGUAGCCGGCCUGAGAGGGUGACCGGCCACACUGGGACUGAGACACGGCCCAGACUCCUACGGGAGGCAGCAGUCGGGAAUAUUGUACAAUGGGCGCAAGCCUGAUGCAGCGACGCCGCGUGAGGGAUGACGGCCUUCGGGUUGUAAACCGCUUUCAGUAGGGAAGAAGCGAAAGUGACGGUACCUGCAGAAGAAGCGCCGGCUAACUACGUG
RNAcentral lists this ribosomal RNA (467 nucleotides) under uncultured bacterium. Its description in RNAcentral is "partial 16S ribosomal RNA". It matches the Rfam family "Bacterial small subunit ribosomal RNA", at positions 28 to 507 of the family's 1533-position model. The record is from RNAcentral.